UGUACAUUUAAAUGGAUCCUGCCUUGUCAGAAGGACUUACAAUGUACAGAGCAAGUGCCAAGAAUAUGGACCUGAUCACAGAUUAAGCUUAUCUUUGCCUUUUUCUGGGAGCUAUUUCCAAACAAAGCCCUGGGUUGCAGCCUUCCCAUUUCUUUUUCCUAAGAAUUGCUGCAAAACCUAUAUAAGGCAAAGAAGAAUUCUGAGAAGCAGAAAAUGAGCACGGUCUGGCAGCAAUCUGCAGAAAGCUAGCUCAGGAGCCUACCACUUAAAAGAAGAGAAAGGGAGGCAUGUUCAAGUGGCUCAAGCAAACUUGGGGAUGCAGAGUUGUUUAAACAAACGAUCUUGGGCUACCAAAGGCCCCAGAAAGCAGAAUAAUUCUCCAAAACCAGAACAGAAUGGGAUCAUAUAUGGGGAAGAAACUGGCAACGGAAAGGCUGAAUACAAAAUCUGGCCAGAUAAGGCCAGGGGCUGUGGAGAAAAAUGUUCCAGGAAAAAAAAAAACCUUAAUUCCAAUGGCAGGGCAGUUGAGUAGAAGCAUGAAAUAUUGCUGACUCCUCCACUCUAAUUCCUGCUCCACUCUCCUUCCUAAUCACAUGAUGCAGCCCACCCUGUGCUAUCCUAUGCAUACAAUAAACAAAAACAUACAGAUACACCAAAAGGGAGAGCAGAAAUAUACUGUAAUUUGCUGAGUUGGGGAAUGGUGAGUUGCAAAAUAUUGGUCAGAACAUCUGUGUACAUCUGUAUCAAGCAAACAGUAGCAACUUCUCUUUUGCAUCAAGAGGCAGUUAAAAAGACUAUCAGAGGGAUCAAAGAGGGUCCACUUUGAUGCAUUUACUGAAAAGUGAGGUGCUAAAGUAUACAUACCCAGC
Non-coding RNA from Python bivittatus (Burmese python), 869 nucleotides. Lineage: Eukaryota; Metazoa; Chordata; Lepidosauria; Squamata; Pythonidae. The record is from RefSeq and is a predicted model, not a curated record.